RNAcentral lists this ribosomal RNA (450 nucleotides) under uncultured bacterium. Its description in RNAcentral is "bacterial SSU rRNA". It matches the Rfam family "Bacterial small subunit ribosomal RNA", at positions 30 to 478 of the family's 1533-position model. The record is from RNAcentral.
AUUGAACGCUGGCGGCAUGCCUUACACAUGCAAGUCGAACGGCAGCACGGGAGCAAUCCUGGUGGCGAGUGGCGAACGGGUGAGUAAUAUAUCGGAACGUGCCCAGUCGUGGGGAUAACGUAGCGAAAGCUACGCUAAUACCGCAUACGAUCUAUGGAUGAAAGCGGGGGAUCGCAAGACCUCGCGCGAUUGGAGCGGCCGAUAUCAGAUUAGGUAGUUGGUGAGGUAAAGGCUCACCAAGCCGACGAUCUGUAGCUGGUCUGAGAGGACGACCAGCCACACUGGGACUGAGACACGGCCCAGACUCCUACGGGAGGCAGCAGUGGGGAAUAUUGGACAAUGGGCGGCAAGCCUGAUCCAGCCAUGCCGCGUGCAGGAUGACGGUCCUAUGGAUUGUAAACUGCUUUUAUACAGGAAGAAACACUCCGACGUGUCGGAGCUUGACGGUAC